CUCUAUGCCUGUUCUUCAACUGCUGUGGCUACUACUAUUCCAAGAGACAGAAUAAGAAAGUUAAAGACAGCAAGAAAUGGAUCUGUAAGGCCCGAAGUGAGUGGUCUGGAAAACGACUGGGCUCACUCACAUGAAUAUAAGGCUAAUCCAUUCAGGAACAGACUAAAUCUCAUCCUUGUUUUCCUGUAAAGGCGACUCAAGAUUUUAUCCACUUGAUUAACAGGUAUGUUCAUAGUAAACCCGAGUAACCAUUUUUGUACAGUGAAUAAAGUAUUUUUAAU
This 281-nucleotide long non-coding RNA is filed under the name Mus caroli (Ryukyu mouse). RNAcentral describes it as "lncRNA (MGP_CAROLIEiJ_G0005288.1)". The record is from RNAcentral. Lineage: Eukaryota; Metazoa; Chordata; Mammalia; Rodentia; Muridae.